ACUCAAAGGAAUAGACGGGGGCCCGCACAAGCGGCGGAGCAUGUGGAUUAAUUCGAUGCAACGCGAAGAACCUUACCUGGGUUUGACAUGCACAGGACGGCACUAGAGAUAGUGCUUCCCUUGUGGCCUGUGUGCAGGUGGUGCAUGGCUGUCGUCAGCUCGUGUCGUGAGAUGUUGGGUUAAGUCCCGCAACGAGCGCAACCCUUGUCUCAUGUUGCCAGCGCGUUAUGGCGGGGACUCGUGAGAGACUGCCGGGGUCAACUCGGAGGAAGGUGGGGAUGACGUCAAGUCAUCAUGCCCCUUAUGUCCAGGGCUUCACACAUGCUACAAUGGCCGGUACAAAGGGCGGCGAUGCCGUGAGGCUUAGCGAAUCCUUUAAAGCCGGUCUCAGUUCGGAUCGGGGUCUGCAACUCGACCCCGUGAAGUCGGAGUCGCUAGUAAUCGCAGAUCAGCAACGCUGCGGUGAAUACGUUCCCGGGCCUUGUACACACCGCCCGU
This 498-nucleotide ribosomal RNA is filed under the name uncultured bacterium. RNAcentral's name for it is "partial 16S ribosomal RNA". It matches the Rfam family "Bacterial small subunit ribosomal RNA", at positions 899 to 1397 of the family's 1533-position model. The record is from RNAcentral.